This 373-nucleotide ribosomal RNA is filed under the name uncultured organism. RNAcentral's name for it is "partial 16S ribosomal RNA". It matches the Rfam family "Bacterial small subunit ribosomal RNA", at positions 527 to 896 of the family's 1533-position model. The record is from RNAcentral.
GUAGGUGGCAAGCGUUGUCCGGAAUUAUUGGGCGUAAAGCGCGCGCAGGCGGUUCUUUAAGUCUGAUGUGAAAGCCCACGGCUCAACCGUGGAGGGUCAUUGGAAACUGGAGAACUUGAGUACAGAAGAGGAAAGCGGAAUUCCACGUGUAGCGGUGAAAUGCGCAGAGAUGUGGAGGAACACCAGUGGCGAAGGCGGCUUUCUGGUCUGUAACUGACGCUGAGGCGCGAAAGCGUGGGGAGCAAACAGGAUUAGAUACCCUGGUAGUCCACGCCGUAAACGAUGAGUGCUAAGUGUUAGGGGGUUUCCGCCCCCCUUAGUGCUGCAGCUAACGCAUUAAGCACUCCGCCCUGGGAGUACGGCCGCAAGGCUG